UUGCUUCUCCGGAUGAGUUGCGAACGGGUGAGUAACGCGUAUGUAACCUGCCUGGUAGCGGGGGAUAACUAUUGGAAACGAUAGCUAAUACCGCAUAAGAGUAGAUGUUGCAUGAGAUUUGCUUAAAAGGUGCAAUUGCAUCACUACCAGAUGGACCUGCGUUGUAUUAGCUAGUUGGUGGGGUAACGGCUCACCAAGGCGACGAUACAUAGCCGACCUGAGAGGGUGAUCGGCCACACUGGGACUGAGACACGGCCCAGACUCCUACGGGAGGCAGCAGUAGGGAAUCUUCGGCAAUGGACGGAAGUCUGACCGAGCAACGCCGCGUGAGUGAAGAAGGUUUUCGGAUCGUAAAGCUCUGUUGUAAGAGAAGAACGAGUGUGAGAGUGGAAAGUUCACACUGUGACGGUAUCUUACCAGAAAGGGACGGCUAACUACGUGCCAGCAGCCGCGGUAAUACGUAGGUCCCGAGCGUUGUCCGGAUUUAUUGGGCGUAAAGCGAGCGCAGGCGGUUAGAUAAGUCUGAAGUUAAAGGCUGUGGCUUAACCAUAGUACGCUUUGGAAACUGUUUAACUUGAGUGCGAGAGGGGAGAGUGGAAUUCCAUGUGUAUCGGUGUGG
RNAcentral lists this ribosomal RNA (619 nucleotides) under Streptococcus mitis. Its description in RNAcentral is "bacterial SSU rRNA". It matches the Rfam family "Bacterial small subunit ribosomal RNA", at positions 79 to 686 of the family's 1533-position model. Lineage: Bacteria; Bacillati; Bacillota; Bacilli; Lactobacillales; Streptococcaceae. The record is from RNAcentral.